This 253-nucleotide ribosomal RNA is filed under the name uncultured bacterium. RNAcentral describes it as "partial 16S ribosomal RNA". It matches the Rfam family "Bacterial small subunit ribosomal RNA", at positions 524 to 776 of the family's 1533-position model. The record is from RNAcentral.
UACAGAGGGUGCAAGCGUUGUUCGGAAUCAUUGGGCGUAAAGCGCGUGUAGGCGGCCAAAUAAGUCUGAUGUGAAAGCCCGGGGCUUAACCCCGGAAGUGCAUUGGAUACUGUAUGGCUAGAGUGCGAGAGGGGGAAGUGGAAUUCCUGGUGUAGGGGUGAAAUCCGUAGAUAUCAGGAGGAACAUCGGAGGCGAAGGCGACUUCCUGGCUCGCAACUGACGCUCAGACGCGAAAGCGUGGGGAGCAAACAGG